AGGACGAACGCUGGCGGCGUGCCUAAUACAUGCAAGUCGAACGCGCUCCAUUCGGUAGCAAUACUGAUGAAGAGCGAGUGGCGAACGGGUGAGUAGCACGUGAGCAACCUGCCCCGAAGACUGGGACAACACCGGGAAACCGGUGCUAAUACCGGAUAUCCCUAUCGGACCGCAUGAUCCGAUAAGGAAAUGUUUUUCGCUUCGGGAGGGGCUCGCGGCCUAUCAGCUAGUUGGUGAGGUAACGGCUCACCAAGGCGUCGACGGGUAGCUGGUCUGAGAGGACGAUCAGCCACACUGGGACUGAGACACGGCCCAGACUCCUACGGGAGGCAGCAGUAGGGAAUCUUGCGCAAUGGGCGAAAGCCUGACGCAGCAACGCCGCGUGGAGGACGAAGGCUUUCUGAGUUGUAAACUCCUUUCAGCAGGGACGAUAGUGACGGUACUGCAGAAGAGCACGGCAACUACGUGCCAGCAGCCG
This 478-nucleotide ribosomal RNA is filed under the name uncultured bacterium. Its description in RNAcentral is "SSU rRNA". It matches the Rfam family "Bacterial small subunit ribosomal RNA", at positions 26 to 517 of the family's 1533-position model. The record is from RNAcentral.